RNAcentral lists this ribosomal RNA (440 nucleotides) under uncultured bacterium. RNAcentral's name for it is "partial 16S ribosomal RNA". It matches the Rfam family "Bacterial small subunit ribosomal RNA", at positions 338 to 795 of the family's 1533-position model. The record is from RNAcentral.
CCUACGGGAGGCAGCAGUGGGGGAUAUUGCACAAUGGGGGAAACCCUGAUGCAGCGACGCCGCGUGAGUGAAGAAGUAUUUCGGUAUGUUAAGCUCCAUCAGCAGGGAAGAAAAUGACAGUACCUGACCAAGAAGCCCCGGCUAACUACGUGCCAGAAGCCGUGGUAAUACGUAGGGGGCAAGCGUUAUCCGGAUUUACUGGGUGUAAAGGGGGCGUAGACGGUUAUGUAAGUCUGGAGUGAAAGCGCGGGGGCCAACCCCGGGACUGGUUUGGAAACUGUGUAACUGGAGUACAGGAGGGGCAGGCGGAAUGCGGGGUGUAGCGGUGAAAUGCGUAGAUAUCAGGAGGAACACCGGCGGCGAAGGCAGCCUGCUGGACUGAAACUGACGUUGAGGCUCGAAAGCGUGGGGAGCAAACAGGAUUAGAUACCCCUGUAGUC